This 229-nucleotide ribosomal RNA is filed under the name uncultured bacterium. Its description in RNAcentral is "partial 16S ribosomal RNA". It matches the Rfam family "Bacterial small subunit ribosomal RNA", at positions 118 to 348 of the family's 1533-position model. The record is from RNAcentral.
UGAGCAAUCUGCCCUUCUCAUCGGAAUAACCAUUGGAAACGAUGGCUAAUGCCGAAUACGACCUCCUUUCGCAUGAUCGGAGGUGGAAAGCUCCGGCGGAGAAGGAUGAGCUCGCGGCCUAUCAGCUAGUUGGUGUGGGUAAUGGCCCACAAGGCGACGACGGGUAGCCGGCCUGAGAGGGUGACCGGCCACACGUGGGACUGAGACACGGCCCAGCUCCGUAGGGACG